Molecule: long non-coding RNA, 259 nt
Organism: Homo sapiens (human)
Lineage: Eukaryota; Metazoa; Chordata; Mammalia; Primates; Hominidae
Exons: 2
Source: RefSeq, a predicted model, not a curated record
GUGUCCAUAAGCCAAGGAAUGCAGGCAGCCUUUGGAAGCUGUGAAAGGCAGGGAAAUGGAUUCUCUCCAGAAGCCUCCAGAAGGCUAGCCCAGGCUUGUUUGCAUGUUGGUGGAAAGGAGCAACAAGAAUAGUGAGACCUCUUAAGUCCUAGGCUUCGAACUGACACGUUGUCACAUCCGCCACUUCUACGGAUCAACAAAAAUCACAAGGUCAGCCCUGAUUCAAGGGCUUAGAAAAUAAACUUAAUCUCUGAUGAGA